Molecule: ribosomal RNA, 688 nt
Filed under: uncultured Actinomycetes bacterium
Lineage: Bacteria; Bacillati; Actinomycetota; Actinomycetes
Description: bacterial SSU rRNA
Rfam family: Bacterial small subunit ribosomal RNA
Source: RNAcentral
GGGAGCGAACAGGAUUAGAUACCCUGGUAGUCCACGCCGUAAACGAUGGGCGCUAGUUGUGGGGACCUUCCACGGUUUCUGCGACGCAGCUAACGCAUUAAGCGCCCCGCCUGGGGAGUACGAUCGCAAGAUUAAAACUCAAAGGAAUUGACGGGGCCCCGCACAAGCAGCGGAGCGUGCGGCUUAAUUCGACGCAACGCGAAGAACCUUACCAAGGCUUGACAUAUAGGGAAAAGCGGCAGAGAUGUCGUGUCCGCAAGGGCUCUAUACAGGUGGUGCAUGGUUGUCGUCAGCUCGUGUCGUGAGAUGUUGGGUUAAGUCCCGCAACGAGCGCAACCCUCGUUCUGUGUUGCCAGCAUUUAGUUGGGGACUCACAGGAGACUGCCGGGGUUAACUCGGAGGAAGGUGGGGAUGACGUCAAAUCAUCAUGCCCCUUAUGUCUUGGGCUGCACGCAUGCUACAAUGGCCGAUACAAAGGGCUGCGAUACCGUAAGGUGGAGCGAAUCCCAAAAAGUCGGUCUCAGUUCGGAUUGAGGUCUGCAACUCGACCUCAUGAAGUCGGAGUUGCUAGUAAUCGUAGAUCAGCAACGCUACGGUGAAUACGUUCCCGGGGCUUGUACACACCGCCCGUCACGUCACGAAGUCGGUAACACCCAAAGUCAGUGGCCCAACCGUAAGGAGGGAGCUG